RNAcentral lists this ribosomal RNA (122 nucleotides) under Prolemur simus (greater bamboo lemur). The record is from RNAcentral. Lineage: Eukaryota; Metazoa; Chordata; Mammalia; Primates; Lemuridae.
UUAAUUUGCCAUACCACACUGAAUGUGCCUGAUCUCAUCUAAUCUCCAAAGAUAAGCAGGGUCAGGCCUGGUUAGUACUUGGAUGGGAGACAACUGUUUUUUUCCUACAUGAAUGAAUUAUA